CGUAUUCGUAAGUUUCAACGUGUUCAACAUUUGGCGCAAUUUUCAAGAUCUGCCCCUUUGAGGCGCGGACCGCGAUGCGGGUGGCUGCGGUUGUUUCAGCUGUCUGAAGGCCAGCGUCUUGUGAAGACAUCCCAGCAGUCCUGUUCUGAUGGUGCGCACAAGAGCUGAUGGCAUCAAAGCCGUAGGGGCUAAGGCUCCGCGCAAGGUGGCGGUGUCAUCCCCUAGGGGCGUGUCAUCAGGCAAAGCGAAGGAGCGGGGCGGCGGCGGAAACGCAUACAACCCACAGCCGACGCCGUCCUGGCAGCGACCGGUAGCCAGCUUCUUCGCGCCGUCUCGGCCGGCGGCCGGAGCAGCCAGCCCACCCGAGGGUACCGCCGGUCCGCCCGAGGGGACCGCCGGUC
This is a long non-coding RNA of Pollicipes pollicipes, 401 nucleotides long. RefSeq lists it as uncharacterized. The record is from RefSeq and is a predicted model, not a curated record. Lineage: Eukaryota; Metazoa; Arthropoda; Thecostraca; Pollicipedomorpha; Pollicipedidae. The transcript is spliced from 4 exons.